UACGUAGGUGGCAAGCGUUGUUCGGAAUUAUUGGGCGUAAAGGGCGCGUAGGCGGUUUGUUAAGUCGGUCGUGAAAGCCCGGGGCUCAACCCCGGAGGGUCGACCGAUACUGGCAGACUAGAGUACAGAAGAGGUAACUGGAAUUCCCGGUGCAGCGGUGAAAUGCGUAGAUAUCGGGAGGAACACCAGAGGCGAAGGCGGGUUACUGGGCUGAUACUGACGCUGAUGCGCGAAAGCCAGGGGAGCAAACAGG
RNAcentral lists this ribosomal RNA (253 nucleotides) under uncultured bacterium. RNAcentral describes it as "partial 16S ribosomal RNA". It matches the Rfam family "Bacterial small subunit ribosomal RNA", at positions 524 to 776 of the family's 1533-position model. The record is from RNAcentral.